GAUGAAGAACGUAGCGAAAUGCGAUAAGUAGUGUGAAUUGCAGAAUUCAGUGAAUCAUCGAAUCUUUGAACGCACAUUGCGCCCCAUGGUAUUCCGUGGGGCAUGCCUGUUCGAGCGUCAUUUACCCCCUCAAGCUCCGCUUGGUGUUGGGCGUCUGUCCCGCUUCGCGCGCGGACUCGCCCCAAAGGUAUUGGCAGCGGUCGUGCCAGCUUCUCGCGCAGCACAUUGCGCUUCUCGAGGCACCGGUGGGCCCGCGUCCAUCAAGCUCACCCCCCCAGUUUGACCUCCGAUCAGGUAGGGAUACCCGCUGAACUUAAGCAUAUCAAUAAGCGGAGGA
This 337-nucleotide unclassified non-coding RNA is filed under the name soil metagenome. RNAcentral describes it as "partial contains 5.8S ribosomal RNA, internal transcribed spacer 2, and large subunit ribosomal RNA". The stretch from base 1 to 120 matches the Rfam family "5.8S ribosomal RNA", at positions 35 to 154 of the family's 154-position model. The record is from RNAcentral.